Molecule: long non-coding RNA, 855 nt
Filed under: Chinchilla lanigera (long-tailed chinchilla)
Lineage: Eukaryota; Metazoa; Chordata; Mammalia; Rodentia; Chinchillidae
Description: lncRNA (ENSCLAG00000027786.1)
Source: RNAcentral
AUGGGACAACAGAGAAAGGAGGCUCGCUGGGCCCUCAGAACCUGGGCAGCUGCCCGCAGCUGGGUCUGUAGGGCGCCCCCUGCAGGAACCACUUGGGCUCUCACCUGCACCAGAAGGGCAGUCAUAAUCUGGUGGUCUCUGUUUGCCGCACACUCCCUUCUGCCCAGGAUGGGUGAGGAAUGGGGCAGGACAGGAUUCCAUCUUCUGAUGGUGGGUCUGGAGACGGGCUCCUUGCUGUGAAGAGAGAGACCGUCCUCGGUUCUCCUGGCCCACUUGGAAAUGUCACACCCCAGAGGAUUCCUGCAGUCACUGCGGCCUAAAUAAACAGUGAUGCUGGAGCUCAUGAGGAGGGCCCAACCCGGUGGAGGAAAGGAAUCCGGAGCUUCGAAGGCCUUUGGAUCACAGCGUUAAGCAACCCUGAGAAGAAAUUGCCUAGCAUGUUUCCUGUUGUUUAAAGCAAUAUAAUUUCUCUGUUUUACUAAGACCAGUUUAAGUCAGAGUUUUCUAACACCUGCAGCCAAAAGCUGUAAAUGACGUGAGAGCCCAGCCUGCGCCACUCCUCAGCGGCAGUCCUCGAGCACUUUCAAAGUCUCCUCCUUCCCCUGGCCAAGUGGUUACUGCUUACCAUCGUAGGACUCGCGGCCAUUUUGGCAGCAAUUAGGUGGUCCAGAGCACCCUUGCUUAUUCCUCACUUUGUCCUCCAAUCGGCGAUCCUGUCCAUGGGAACCCGCACCUCUCUGCCCCGGUUCUGCUGAGAGUCCCGAAGCAGCCAGGUGCCGGCUCAGCUUCCGUGAGCUGCCCCGCCACAGAGCUUUGUUUGCUCUGCUAGUGCCACUUCAUUCCGUGCUCUGGGGG